GCACCCGUAGCUCAGGGGAUAGAGCACUGGUUUCCGGUGCCAGGUGUCGGGAGUUCAAAUCUCUCCGGGUGUAUCA
RNAcentral lists this transfer RNA (76 nucleotides) under Exiguobacterium sp. S17. Its description in RNAcentral is "tRNA-Arg". It matches the Rfam family "tRNA". From Rfam's summary of the family: Transfer RNA (tRNA) molecules are approximately 80 nucleotides in length. Their secondary structure includes four short double-helical elements and three loops (D, anti-codon, and T loops). RNAcentral also lists the same sequence under 9 other names. The record is from RNAcentral. Lineage: Bacteria; Bacillati; Bacillota; Bacilli; Caryophanales.